UUAAGCGACUAAGCGUACACGGUGGAUGCCCUGGCAGUCAGAGGCGAUGAAGGACGUGCUAAUCUGCGAUAAGCGUCGGUAAGGUGAUAUGAACCGUUAUAACCGGCGAUUUCCGAAUGGGGAAACCCAGUGUGAUUCGUCACACUAUCAUUAACUGAAUCCAUAGGUUAAUGAGGCGAACCGGGGGAACUGAAACAUCUAAGUACCCCGAGGAAAAGAAAUCAACCGAGAUUCCCCCAGUAGCGGCGAGCGAACGGGGAGCAGCCCAGAGCCUGAAUCAGUGUGUGUGUUAGUGGAAGCGUCUGGAAAGGCGCGCGAUACAGGGUGACAGCCCCGUACACAAAAAUGCACAUAUUGUGAGCUCGAUGAGUAGGGCGGGACACGUGGUAUCCUGUCUGAAUAUGGGGGGACCAUCCUCCAAGGCUAAAUACUCCUGACUGACCGAUAGUGAACCAGUACCGUGAGGGAAAGGCGAAAAGAACCCCGGCGAGGGGAGUGAAAAAGAACCUGAAACCGUGUACGUACAAGCAGUGGGAGCACGCUUAGGCGUGUGACUGCGUACCUUUUGUAUAAUGGGUCAGCGACUUAUAUUCUGUAGCAAGGUUAACCGAAUAGGGGAGCCGAAGGGAAACCGAGUCUUAACUGGGCGUUAAGUUGCAGGGUAUAGACCCGAAACCCGGUGAUCUAGCCAUGGGCAGGUUGAAGGUUGGGUAACACUAACUGGAGGACCGAACCGACUAAUGUUGAAAAAUUAGCGGAUGACUUGUGGCUGGGGGUGAAAGGCCAAUCAAACCGGGAGAUAGCUGGUUCUCCCCGAAAGCUAUUUAGGUAGCGCCUCGUGAAUUCAUCUCCGGGGGUAGAGCACUGUUUCGGCAAGGGGGUCAUCCCGACUUACCAACCCGAUGCAAACUGCGAAUACCGGAGAAUGUUAUCACGGGAGACACACGGCGGGUGCUAACGUCCGUCGUGAAGAGGGAAACAACCCAGACCGCCAGCUAAGGUCCCAAAGUCAUGGUUAAGUGGGAAACGAUGUGGGAAGGCCCAGACAGCCAGGAUGUUGGCUUAGAAGCAGCCAUCAUUUAAAGAAAGCGUAAUAGCUCACUGGUCGAGUCGGCCUGCGCGGAAGAUGUAACGGGGCUAAACCAUGCACCGAAGCUGCGGCAGCGAC
This 1168-nucleotide ribosomal RNA is filed under the name Escherichia coli O104:H4 str. 11-4522. Its description in RNAcentral is "bacterial LSU rRNA". It matches the Rfam family "Bacterial large subunit ribosomal RNA", at positions 1 to 1212 of the family's 2925-position model. The record is from RNAcentral. Lineage: Bacteria; Pseudomonadati; Pseudomonadota; Gammaproteobacteria; Enterobacterales; Enterobacteriaceae.